GGAUGAACGCUAGCGGCAGGCUUAACACAUGCAAGUCGAGGGGUAACAGGAGUAGCUUGCUAUUUGCUGACGACCGGCGCACGGGUGAGUAACGCGUAUGCAACCUACCUUUUACUGGAGAAUAGCCUUUAGAAAUGAAGAUUAAUACUCCAUAAUAAUUAAGACUCUCCUGAGUUUUAAUUUAAAGUUUCGGCGGUAAAAUGGGUAUGCUUUUUUUAUUAGUUAGUUGGUAAGGUAACGGCUUACCAAGACUACGAUAAAUAGGGGUCCUGAGAGGGAGAUCCCCCACACUGGUACUGAGACACGGACCAGACUCCUACGGGAGGCAGCAGUGAGGAAUAUUGGACAAUGGAGGCAACUCUGAUCCAGCCAUGCCGCGUGCAGGAAGACGGCCCUAUGGGUUGUAAACUGCUUUUAUACAGGAAGAAACCUCCCCACGUGUGGGGGCUGACGGUACUGUAAGAAUAAGGAUCGGCUAACUCCGUGCCAGCAGCCGCGGUAAUACGGAGGAUCCAAGCGUUAUCCGGAUUCAUUGGGUUUAAAGGGUCCGUAGGCGGAUUUUUAAGUCAGUGGUGAAAGCCGACAGCUCAACUGUCGAACUGCCAUUGAUACUGGAGAUCUUGAGUACAAAUGAAGUAGGCGGAAUGAGUCAUGUAGCGGUGAAAUGCAUAGAUAUGACUCAGAACACCAAUUGCGAAGGCAGCUUACUAACAUGUAACUGACGCUGAGGGACGAAAGCGUGGGUAGCGAACAGGAUUAGAUACCCUGGUAGUCCACGCCGUAAACGAUCAUCACUCGCUGUUGGCGAUAUACAGUCAGCGGCCAAGCGAAAGUAUUAAGUGAUGCACCUGGGGAGUACGCCGGCAACGGUGAAACUCAAAGGAAUUGACGGGGGCCCGCACAAGCGGUGGAGCAUGUGGUUUAAUUCGAUGAUACGCGAGGAACCUUACCAGGGCUUAAAUGUAGUUUGACCGGUCUGGAAACAGACUUUCUCUUCGGAGCAGAUUACAAGGUGCUGCAUGGUUGUCGUCAGCUCGUGCCGUGAGGUGUUAGGUUAAGUCCUGCAACGAGCGCAACCCCUAUCUUUAGUUGCCAGCGAUUCGGUCGGGGACUCUAAAGAGACUGCCAGCGCAAGCUGUGAGGAAGGUGGGGAUGACGUCAAAUCAUCACGGCCCUUACGUCCUGGGCUACACACGUGCUACAAUGGUAGAGACAGAGGGCAGCCACCUGGCGACAGGGAGCGAAUCCUUAAACUCUAUCUCAGUUCGGAUCGAAGUCUGCAACUCGACUUCGUGAAGCUGGAAUCGCUAGUAAUCGCGCAUCAGCCAUGGCGCGGUGAAUACGUUCCCGGGCCUUGCACACACCGCCCG
Molecule: ribosomal RNA, 1370 nt
Filed under: uncultured prokaryote
Description: partial 16S ribosomal RNA
Rfam family: Bacterial small subunit ribosomal RNA
Source: RNAcentral